This 253-nucleotide unclassified non-coding RNA is filed under the name uncultured Gammaproteobacteria bacterium. RNAcentral describes it as "contains 16S-23S intergenic spacer region". It matches the Rfam family "Bacterial small subunit ribosomal RNA", at positions 524 to 776 of the family's 1533-position model. The record is from RNAcentral. Lineage: Bacteria; Pseudomonadati; Pseudomonadota; Gammaproteobacteria.
UACGGAGGGUGCGAGCGUUAAUCGGAAUUACUGGGCGUAAAGCGUGCGUAGGCGGCUAUGUAAGUCGGAUGUGAAAGCCCCGGGCUUAACCUGGGAAUUGCACCCGAUACUGCAUAGCUAGAGUUUGGUAGAGGUAAGUGGAAUUCCAGGUGUAGCGGUGAAAUGCGUAGAUAUCUGGAGGAACACCAGUGGCGCCGGCGGCUUACUGGACCAAAACUGACGCUGAGGUACGAAAGCGUGGGUAGCAAACAGG